AGUUUGAUUAUGGCUCAGAUUGAACGCUGGCGGCGUGCUUAACACAUGCAAGUCGCGCGUGAAAGGACUUCGGUCCGAGUAAAGCGGCGCACGGGUGAGUAACGCGUGGAUGAUCUACCCAUGAGUUAGGAAUAACGGCUGGAAACGGUCGCUAAUACCAAAUACGCUCCGAUUUCAACUUCGGGGGAAAGUGGCCUCUGCUUGCAAGCUACUGCUCAUGGAUGAGUCCGCGUCCCAUUAGCUAGUUGGUGGGGUAACGGCCCACCAAGGCGACGAUGGGUAGCCGGUCUGAGAGGAUGACCGGCCACACUGGGACUGGAACACGGCCCAGACUCCUACGGGAGGCAGCAGUGGGGAAUAUUGCGCAAUGGGCGAAAGCCUGACGCAGCGACGCCGCGUGAGGGGAAUGAAGGUCCUCGGAUCGUAAACCUCUGUCAGGAGGGAAGAACCGCCACGGUGCUAAUCAGCCGUGGUCUGACGGUACCUCCAAAGGAAGCACCGGCUAACUCCGUGCCAGCCGCCGC
Molecule: ribosomal RNA, 524 nt
Filed under: uncultured bacterium
Lineage: Bacteria
Description: bacterial SSU rRNA
Rfam family: Bacterial small subunit ribosomal RNA
Source: RNAcentral